Molecule: long non-coding RNA, 1087 nt
Filed under: Apteryx rowi (Okarito brown kiwi)
Lineage: Eukaryota; Metazoa; Chordata; Aves; Apterygiformes; Apterygidae
Description: lncRNA (ENSARWG00000017581.1)
Source: RNAcentral
GAAAAUUCUAAAGUAUAUCUCAAGCUAUGACAUAUGCAUCUAGGAGUAUGUUUCAGAUUACCUUAAACUGUACAUCACAAAAAUACAUACUUUUGAAGUAUUUCACAUAUGUUCAUUUUUCUCUUUUAAUGAAUUUCCCUUUAACUCUUACACAUCUGCCUAACAGUACACAAGGAGGAAAUCUGUAGAGUUUGUUAUUAGCCUUUAAAUAAGGUUAAAUUGCCAUUUAUGUAAGCGUAGAUAAUUAUUGUAUCCAUCCAAAUUUGAGAGUAGGAUUUGGACUUUUUUGUGACUUGCAAGAUUUGAAUGCAGCCUUCUAGAAUGUCAGUACUGUCAUUGCAGAUUUUGCAGCUUCAGCAUCCUGAUGAUGGCUUGCCUCAGAAAUGCAGYUGCUGUCUGAAUGAGGAGUACAUAGAGAUGUAUGUAGCCUGCAUUAUCAUUUAAUACAGCCCAGUAGCCUGGAUCCAGCUAGCUCUGGUGCUACAAAAUCAAGACAGAGCAUUGAAAAGGAUAUUUCUAUACAAAGACCCAUUUAAGCUUUAUUCAUUAAAAAACAGUAAAUUCCGGGUUUUCUCUGAAUGAAGAGCACAUGUGGAAGGGAGCAGGGUGUCGAGAUACUGAAGUUAACAUCAGAUGAGCUGGCUCUGGAAUCAGAAGCAAUGCAGUCAUGACACUGAAGCGCUGCGCUGGAGGUAAAUGCCCUGGCAGAGAUGCUGGCCUAGUUACACAUGACAGUCUAACACCGUCCUUCCUUCUGGGAUCUGUGCUAGUACUGCUGCACUGCAACAUAUUGAUGUCCUGUUUCAGCCCCUCAAAGCUUUUGCUGGAGCUCUUCUAUGAAAUUUGGACUCCGAUUUUACAGCACCUGGAGUGACCAGAGGCCUGUCCCGAUUGGAGCCUUUGGCAUGGACCGUAGUACGGACAGGGAGCAAUAGCAGUAACAGAGCACCUGCUCUGCCAAAAACGGCUCAGGCGCCCGGCUUCAGAGGUGGGCCAGCUCUUGCCAAUUGCUCGUCUGAUGCGCAGAGAUGCUACACAAGUUGCAUGUGCUGCCAUUCACGUUAAUAAACUGUAGCGCACAUUGACA